Molecule: long non-coding RNA, 722 nt
Organism: Esox lucius (northern pike)
Lineage: Eukaryota; Metazoa; Chordata; Actinopteri; Esociformes; Esocidae
Source: Ensembl
CUGAAUGCUUGUAAAUGUUGAAAUUACAGCAUUUAUUUUCUAAAAACGUCUAAAUCGUGCAACAUAGUUGGAUCACGGCUACUUGCGCAAGUUAUCAAGGCAGAUAUCACAAACGAGCUGUUCGAUUAUAAAGGUUUUACUGACACCAAUAACGAUUUUAUGACAACUAAUCUUUAGUCUAAAUUACAAUAUUUGUGGAUGUGGUUGUAGUUAUUUGCUGGCUAAUAACAAUAAGCUUUGAGUGAGACCUAUGGCAGCUAACGUUACAGUUUAGCUGCUAACCAGCAAAGUUGCACAUGAUUUUCCAUCCGGUUGGUUCCUGUGAUGCUUGAAGGACAGCAAUAUGUCCUGACCUACAGGUUCAGCCAGGACCACUUGGAGCUUUUCUUCAACUCCAUCAGAGCAUCUGAGGCAAUGUGACGGCACAGGAUCACACAGAGUCCCUACCAGCUGUCAUCGACACCUCUACAAGCCUGUCAGCUGUAGAUGUGUCCUCUGCAGCAGGAGGAGAAGAUCUUCCAUCCCCGUUUGCUGACAUUCCUGCCCUAGUACAUGAUCACAGCUACCUUCCCGUCCACUUCGAUGGUCUUGUGGACAACGCUUUCAUGUACAUUUCAGGAUUUGUUGUGCGACAGGCUCUGAAGAAGCUGUCGUGUGAUGUCUGCGUGCCAGCCUGGUGACAGAUGCUGCAUCUGCCAUCAAGGACCAGAGCUACCACCUGC